RNAcentral lists this ribosomal RNA (478 nucleotides) under uncultured bacterium. Its description in RNAcentral is "partial 16S ribosomal RNA". It matches the Rfam family "Bacterial small subunit ribosomal RNA", at positions 28 to 523 of the family's 1533-position model. The record is from RNAcentral.
GACGAACGCUGGCGGCGUGCUUAACACAUGCAAGUCGAACGGUAAGGCCCUUCGGGGUACACGAGUGGCGAACGGGUGAGUAACACGUGGGUGAUCUGCCCUGCACUUCGGGAUAAGCCUGGGAAACUGGGUCUAAUACCGGAUAGGACCACUGCCUGCAUGGGUGGUGGUGGAAAGCUUUUGCGGUGUGGGAUGGGCCCGCGGCCUAUCAGCUUGUUGGUUGGGUGAUGGCCUACCAAGGCGACGACGGGUAGCCGGCCUGAGAGGGUGACCGGCCACAGUGGGACUGAGAUAGGGCCCAGACUCCUACGGGAGGCAGCAGUGGGGAAUAUUGCACAAUGGGCGCAAGCCUGAUGCAGCGACGCCGCGUGAGGGAUGACGGCCUUCGGGUUGUAAACCUCUUUCAGCACCGACGAAGCGCAAGUGACGGUAGGUGCAGAAGAAGGACCGGCCAACUACGUGCCAGCCGCCGCAGUAA